CACGUGCCACGCUCCCUUAACACACACACCCCCUCCGGUCGCGCGGCACGGCGGGCCAGCCGGGACAAAAAGGUUCCUGAGGAGGCAGGGAAAAGUGCAACGCUUUUGAGUCCGGGGAAUUAGCGGGCUUCUUUCCCGAGGCGUCGCCGCCCGCUAAGGGCAGCAGCCACGGGCACAGAGGCAGGCACUGCAACCAGCCCAGGCAAGGGAGGGCGGAGCUUGCAGGAGGGUAUCUGGGCUUUCCAAAAGAGAGGCGCUGGGGUCAGGAAGGAGAACCGAGUCCCAAGCUGCGAGUCCGAGCUGUGUCCGCCGCUUCUCGGCACUUGUGCCCGCCGCUUCCAGGAUCCGUCUGCCCCCGACGGCUGUUGGACCAGCCCCGGGUCCUGAGCGCAUCCUGGCUGCAGAGCCUUCUCCCCGGGGCAGAUGCAGACGAACCCCCGACGGGGUUCCUUGGCAAACCCGAGCUGCACCAAAUCCAAGCAGAAGCCGAUCUCGGAUCAGAGCGGCUUCCCGAGCGCCUCCGGGGUCCGAGUCCGCCGCCCUCCGCAAUGGGAGGAGGACGAAUGGACCCCACUGCCCGCCAGGAGGGUGCCCCAAGAGAACAAUUGGUGGUCGUUCGAGGCUUGGCCACGGGGUUCUUAGAAGAGCCGUGAGGUGGGGGAGGAAGAAAAGAACGUGCCGUCCUCGGACUCUCCCAUCAUCAGUCUGCCUUAAUGGGCUGGUUUACGGUCCCCUCCCAGCUAAGCCCCAGCUUCAUUGACAUUCAGCUUUCAUUCAGACUCCAGCCACCGAGAGGACUGUAGCAUUGGCUCCGUCCAGUGCCUGGGCUGGAAAGCAGACGCUUCCAGAGGGGGAAAAAAUACCGAAACAGAGACUAUGCAUGAUGCCAGUAUGUCCUCUCCGAUGUAGAAAGAAGGCAGGUCUUUGUGCCUUAGCGAGUCUUCGUACAACUACGUUCUAUGCUUGCCCCACGGUUCUUGCCACUUUCCAUCUUUUAAUUCAUUCCGCUUUGCUCCAAACGAACGCAUAAAUCUUGAGCUGCAACCAGUCUUAAGACACACACACACACACACACACACACACACACACACACGAAUUGUAACCACACUCGGUCUUAACCCACACUUAAAUCAGCAGCCAAAUUAACUACUCCUCCCCUUUAAAAAAGAAAGAAAAAUCACCCACAGUAUGCAGUCCAUACUGGACACAAGCAAACAAAAGAGAUUUGUAUUCAUCUAUUUACAGAAUAAACAGUUUAAUUGCCUUUCCCCA
Molecule: long non-coding RNA, 1272 nt
Filed under: Monodelphis domestica (gray short-tailed opossum)
Lineage: Eukaryota; Metazoa; Chordata; Mammalia; Didelphimorphia; Didelphidae
Description: lncRNA (ENSMODG00000049398.1)
Source: RNAcentral